Alligator mississippiensis (American alligator) is the source of this 106-nucleotide small nuclear RNA. The record is from Rfam. NCBI's taxonomy places the organism in Eukaryota, Metazoa, Chordata, Crocodylia, Alligatoridae.
GUAUACAAGUGUAGUACAUAAUUCAAAAUUUGAUUUGAUACAGAGAAGAUUAGCAUGGCCCCUGCACAAGGAUGACACGCAAAUUCGUGAAGCGUUCCAUAAAAAA